UACGGGGGGUGCAAGCGUUGUUCGGAAUUACUGGGCGUAAAGGGCUCGUAGGCGGCCAACUAAGUCAGACGUGAAAUCCCCAGGCUCAACCUGGGAACUGCGUCUGAUACUGGAUGGCUUGAAUCCGGGAGAGGGAUGCAGAAUUCCAGGUGUAGCGGUGAAAUGCGUAGAUAUCUGGAGGAAUACCGGUGGCGAAGGCGGCAUCCUGGACCGGCAUUGACGCUGAGGAGCGAAAGCUAGGGGAGCAAACGGG
This 253-nucleotide ribosomal RNA is filed under the name uncultured bacterium. Its description in RNAcentral is "partial 16S ribosomal RNA". It matches the Rfam family "Bacterial small subunit ribosomal RNA", at positions 524 to 776 of the family's 1533-position model. The record is from RNAcentral.